RNAcentral lists this long non-coding RNA (277 nucleotides) under Homo sapiens (human). Lineage: Eukaryota; Metazoa; Chordata; Mammalia; Primates; Hominidae. The record is from RNAcentral.
CUGCCGCCAUGACGCUCACCUUCCGCCAUGGUUGGGAGGCCUCCCCAGGCACACGGAACUCCUUUCAGGUCUCAUAUUCCGGUGUCUUUGUAAGUCAAGAAAAGAGACCUUCAAAAACUGGAAUUUGGAUUUGGGAAUCCCCUAAGGCAAAGCUUGUCUCUACAUAGUCACCUUAAAAUGAAGCCUGCCAGGAGACAUAUAGUCAACAUGCAACUAUCUUCCAACGAGUUUGUAUUAAUCCAAAUAAUUCAGCCAUAAUUAUCACUUAACAAUCAAC